This 155-nucleotide small RNA is filed under the name Burkholderia glumae BGR1. RNAcentral describes it as "Proteobacterial sRNA psRNA2". It matches the Rfam family "Proteobacterial sRNA psRNA2". The record is from Rfam by way of RNAcentral. Lineage: Bacteria; Pseudomonadati; Pseudomonadota; Betaproteobacteria; Burkholderiales; Burkholderiaceae.
GGGUUACUCCUUGGCGCUUGCGCGCUGUUUUGAUGAAGAUUCGCACCUCUAUCAAAACGGGUAACCCCGCCUCUUGGUAAGGCCUUACUGUCAGAUCAAGUCUGAACUUCUACAACUGAUUAAUAGGCCAACGCGCGAGCUUGUCGGCGAUGCUG